Molecule: ribosomal RNA, 659 nt
Filed under: Streptomyces sp. GLT-Irr-20
Lineage: Bacteria; Bacillati; Actinomycetota; Actinomycetes; Kitasatosporales; Streptomycetaceae
Description: bacterial SSU rRNA
Rfam family: Bacterial small subunit ribosomal RNA
Source: RNAcentral
AUGGGACAAGCCCUGGAAACCGUUUUCUAAUACCGGAUACUGACCCGCCUGGGCAUCCAGGCGGUUCGAAAGCUCCGGCGGUGCAGGAUGAGCCCGCGGCCUAUCAGCUUGUUGGUGAGGUAAUGGCUCACCAAGGCGACGACGGGUAGCCGGCCUGAGAGGGCGACCGGCCACACUGGGACUGAGACACGGCCCAGACUCCUACGGGAGGCAGCAGUGGGGAAUAUUGCACAAUGGGCGAAAGCCUGAUGCAGCGACGCCGCGUGAGGGAUGACGGCCUUCGGGUUGUAAACCUCUUUCAGCAGGGAAGAAGCGAAAGUGACGGUACCUGCAGAAGAAGCGCCGGCUAACUACGUGCCAGCAGCCGCGGUAAUACGUAGGGCGCGAGCGUUGUCCGGAAUUAUUGGGCGUAAAGAGCUCGUAGGCGGUCUGUCGCGUCGGAUGUGAAAGCCCGGGGCUUAACCCCGGGUCUGCAUUCGAUACGGGCAGACUAGAGUGUGGUAGGGGAGAUCGGAAUUCCUGGUGUAGCGGUGAAAUGCGCAGAUAUCAGGAGGAACACCGGUGGCGAAGGCGGAUCUCUGGGCCAUUACUGACGCUGAGGAGCGAAAGCGUGGGGAGCGAACAGGAUUAGAUACCCUGGUAGUCCACGCCGUAAACGG